UGAACGCUAGCGGCAGGCUUAACACAUGCAAGUCGAGGGGGUAUAGUUCUUCGGAAUUAGAGACCGGCGCACGGGUGCGUAACGCGUAUGCAAUCUACCUUUCACAGAGGGAUAGCCCAGAGAAAAUUUGGAUUAAUACCUCAUAGUAUAGUACUUUGGCAUCAAGGAACUAUUAAAGUCACAACGGCAAAAGAUGAGCAUGCGUCCCAUUAGCUAGUUGGUAAGGUAACGGCUUACCAAGGCUACGAUGGGUAGGGGUUCUGAGAGGGAGAUCCCCCACACUGGUACUGAGACACGGACCAGACUCCUACGGGAGGCAGCAGUGAGGAAUAUUGGACAAUGGGCGCAAGCCUGAUCCAGCCAUGCCGCGUGCAGGAUGACGGUCCUAUGGAUUGUAAACUGCUUUUAUACAGGAAGAAACACUCCGACGUGUCGGAGCUUGACGGUACUGUAAGAAUAAGGAUCGGCUAACUCCGUG
This 478-nucleotide ribosomal RNA is filed under the name uncultured bacterium. RNAcentral's name for it is "bacterial SSU rRNA". It matches the Rfam family "Bacterial small subunit ribosomal RNA", at positions 30 to 507 of the family's 1533-position model. The record is from RNAcentral.